UGCAAACGUUGCUCGGAAUCAUUGGGCGUAAAGCGCACGUAGGCGGUCCGGAAAGUCGGGUGUGAAAUCCCUCGGCUCAACCGAGGAAGUGCAUUCGAAACUUCCGGACUUGAAUAUGGAAGAGGGUCGCGGAAUUCCCGGUGUAGAGGUGAAAUUCGUAGAUAUAGGAAGGAACACCAGUGGCGAAGGCGACCACCUGGACUGAUACUGACACUGAGGUGCGAAAGCGUGGGGAGCAAACAGG
Molecule: ribosomal RNA, 244 nt
Filed under: uncultured bacterium
Lineage: Bacteria
Description: partial 16S ribosomal RNA
Rfam family: Bacterial small subunit ribosomal RNA
Source: RNAcentral